AUACGGAGGGUGCAAGCGUUAAUCGGAAUUACUGGGCGUAAAGCGCGCGUAGGCGGUUUGGUAAGUCGGAUGUGAAAGCCCCGGGCUCAACCUGGGAAUUGCAUUCGAUACUGUCAGGCUAGAGUAUGGUAGAGGGAAGCGGAAUUCCAGGUGUAGCGGUGAAAUGCGUAGAUAUCUGGAGGAACAUCAGUGGCGAAGGCGGCUUCCUGGAUCAAUACUGACGCUGAGGUGCGAAAGCGUGGGGAGCAAACAGGAUUAGAUACCCCGGUAGUCC
This 274-nucleotide ribosomal RNA is filed under the name uncultured bacterium. RNAcentral describes it as "partial 16S ribosomal RNA". It matches the Rfam family "Bacterial small subunit ribosomal RNA", at positions 523 to 796 of the family's 1533-position model. The record is from RNAcentral.